Molecule: long non-coding RNA, 502 nt
Organism: Ctenopharyngodon idella (grass carp)
Lineage: Eukaryota; Metazoa; Chordata; Actinopteri; Cypriniformes; Xenocyprididae
Exons: 4
Source: RefSeq, a predicted model, not a curated record
UCGCUGUUUCAGGAACCACCCACUCCCGCUUGGAAACCAAUUAAAUGUUUAAACAUUUUUUAGCGCCAUCAUCAAUGUCCCGCCCCCUCAUCGUGCGACCUCGUGCAUCAUCAUCAAAGUCGUCAAUCAUCAGAAUACCCAAAAUGUCCACAGGCUCUUUAGAAGCAGCACUUGUUCUUGGAGAUGUGUUUCUUGAUCAGAUACAGAAAGAAGAAAAAAAGCAAGCCAAGAGGUCUAAGCCACAUCCUACGACUGUGAAGUGGAGGCAAAGGGACAGAAAUGGGAAUGUUAUACGGCCGCUUCGGAAAAAAAACCUCAAUAAAACAAAAACUGAAAAGAAAGGCUCCUAACCACGGUCCCACCAGUGUGCCCAUCCAAGAGGAAUUUGUUUAUCGAGCAGAAACUGGUAACUGUACACUGUGGUUAUAUGGAAUGGCAUCUGGUUAAUAGAGUUUAAGUAAUAUUCUGAAAAUAAUAUUGUACACAAAUAUUUUGCCCAAUA